This 517-nucleotide ribosomal RNA is filed under the name uncultured bacterium. Its description in RNAcentral is "bacterial SSU rRNA". It matches the Rfam family "Bacterial small subunit ribosomal RNA", at positions 1 to 524 of the family's 1533-position model. The record is from RNAcentral.
UAGAGUUUGAUCCUGGCUCAGGAUGAACGCUAGCGGGAGGCUUAACACAUGCAAGCCGAGCGGUAUUUGUUCUUCGGGACAGAGAGAGCGGCGUACGGGUGCGGAACACGUGUGCAACCUGCCUUUAUCAGGGGGAUAGCCUUUCGAAAGGAAGAUUAAUACCCCAUAAUAUAUUAAGUGGCAUCACUUGAUAUUGAAAACUCCGGUGGAUAAAGAUGGGCACGCGCAAGAUUAGAUAGUUGGUAGGGUAACGGCCUACCAAGUCUAUGAUCUUUAGGGGGCCUGAGAGGGUGAUCCCCCACACUGGUACUGAGACACGGACCAGACUCCUACGGGAGGCAGCAGUGAGGAAUAUUGGACAAUGGGUGAGAGCCUGAUCCAGCCAUCCCGCGUGAAGGAUGACGGCCCUAUGGGUUGUAAACUUCUUUUGUAUAGGGAUAAACCUUUCCACGUGUGGAAAGCUGAAGGUACUAUACGAAUAAGCACCGGCUAACUCCGUGCCAGCAGCCCCGGUCAA